This 442-nucleotide ribosomal RNA is filed under the name uncultured bacterium. RNAcentral describes it as "partial 16S ribosomal RNA". It matches the Rfam family "Bacterial small subunit ribosomal RNA", at positions 338 to 795 of the family's 1533-position model. The record is from RNAcentral.
CCUACGGGAGGCAGCAGUGGGGAAUAUUGCACAAUGGGCGAAAGCCUGAUGCAGCAACGCCCGUGAAGGAAGAAGGGUUUCGGCUCGUAAACUUCUAUCAACAGGGACGAAAGAAAUGACGGUACCCGAAGAAGAAGCCCCGGCUAACUACGUGCCAGCAGCCGCGGUAAUACGUAGGGGGCAAGCGUUAUCCGGAAUUACUGGGUGUAAAGGGUGAGUAGGCGGCAUGGUAAGCGAGAUGUGAAAGCCUUGGGCUUAAUCCGAGGAUUGCAUUUGGAAUUAGCAAGCUAGAGUGCAGGAGAGGAAAGCGGAAGUCCUGGUGUAGCGGUGAAAUGCGUAGAUAUUAGGAAGAACACCAGUGGCGAAGGCGGCUUUCUGGACUGAAACUGACGCUGAGGCACGAAAGCGUGGGGAGCGAACGGGAUUAGAUACCCCAGUAGUC